AACGAACGCUGGCGGCAUGCUUAACACAUGCAAGUCGAACGCUCCGGUUUCGGCCGGGGAGUGGCGCACGGGUGAGUAGCGCGUGGGAACCUGCCCUCUUGUGGGGGAUAACCGAUGGAAACGUCGGCUAAUACCGCAUGCGCCCGGGGCAACCCGGGGAAAGAUUUAUCGCAGGAGGAGGGGCCCGCGUCGGAUUAGCUAGUUGGUGGGGUAACGGCCUACCAAGGCUAUGAUCCGUAGCUGGUCUGAGAGGAUGAUCAGCCACACUGG
This 270-nucleotide ribosomal RNA is filed under the name uncultured bacterium. RNAcentral's name for it is "partial 16S ribosomal RNA". It matches the Rfam family "Bacterial small subunit ribosomal RNA", at positions 29 to 316 of the family's 1533-position model. The record is from RNAcentral.